RNAcentral lists this ribosomal RNA (500 nucleotides) under uncultured Glomeromycotina. RNAcentral's name for it is "partial small subunit ribosomal RNA". It matches the Rfam family "Eukaryotic small subunit ribosomal RNA", at positions 591 to 1092 of the family's 1831-position model. Lineage: Eukaryota; Fungi; Glomeromycota. The record is from RNAcentral.
CCAAUAGCGUCUAUUAAAGUUGUUGCAGUUAAAAAGCUCGUAGUUGAAUUUCGGGAUCAAUGGGUUGGUCAUGCCCUCGGUAUGUACUGAUUUCAUUGGUUCUCACCUUCUAAGGAACCAUGAUGUCAUUCGUUUGAUGUUGUGGGGAAUUAGGACUGUUACCUUGAAAAAAUUAGAGUGUUUAAAGCAGGCUAACGCUUGAAUACAUUAGCAUGGAAUAAUGAAAUAGGACAUCCGAUUCUAUUUUGUUGGUUUCUAGGAUCGAUGUAAUGAUUAAUAGGGAUAGUUGGGGGCAUUAGUAUUCAAUUGUCAGAGGUGAAAUUCUUGGAUUUAUUGAAGACUAACUACUGCGAAAGCAUUUGCCAAGGAUGUUUUCAUUAAUCAAGAACGAAAGUUAGGGGAUCGAAGACGAUCAGAUACCGUCGUAGUCUUAACCAUAAACUAUGCCGACUAGGGAUCGGAUGAUGCUUAUUUUUUAAUGACUCAUUCGGCACCUUACG